This 131-nucleotide small nucleolar RNA is filed under the name Rhinolophus ferrumequinum (greater horseshoe bat). Lineage: Eukaryota; Metazoa; Chordata; Mammalia; Chiroptera; Rhinolophidae. The record is from RNAcentral.
UCGCUGCCUUUGAGCCCCCGCUGCGCCUGUGCGUGGCGCCGGGGUCAGGCUACAGCGCCAGAGCACACGCUUGCGCAUAACUGGGGAUGUCUGCUCUCCGCCAGCGGCCCUUUUAACCGCAAGCAUCAGGG